This 407-nucleotide ribosomal RNA is filed under the name uncultured bacterium. RNAcentral's name for it is "partial 16S ribosomal RNA". It matches the Rfam family "Bacterial small subunit ribosomal RNA", at positions 29 to 526 of the family's 1533-position model. The record is from RNAcentral.
AGUGAACGCUGGCGGCAGGCCUAACACAUGCAAGUCGAGCGGAGCGGAGGCCGGGUGAGUAAGGCCUAGGACUCUGCCUGGUAGUGGGGGAUAACGUCAGGAAACGGGCGCUAAUGCCGCAUCCUCUCAGAUGCGGCUAGGUCGGAUUAGCGAGUUGGUGGGGUAAAGGCUUACCAAGGCGACGAUCCGUAACUGGUCUGAGAGGAUGAUCAGUCACACUGGAACUGAGACACGGUCCAGACUCCUACGGGAGGCAGCAGUGGGGAAUAUUGGACAAUGGGCGAAAGCCUGAUCCAGCCAUGCCGCGUGUGUGAAGAAGGUCUUCGGAUUGUAAAGCACUUUAAGUUGGGAGGCGUUACCAACAGAAGAAGCACCGGCUAACUUCGUGCCAACAGCCGCGGUAAUAC